Molecule: small nuclear RNA, 22 nt
Filed under: Arabidopsis thaliana (thale cress)
Lineage: Eukaryota; Viridiplantae; Streptophyta; Magnoliopsida; Brassicales; Brassicaceae
Description: snRNA_18908
Source: RNAcentral
GUAAACCCGUAAGGCGCAAGGA